AUUCUGUGUGAGCUUGGGCAAGCCACCUAAUCUCUAUGAGCCUCGGUUUGCUGACUUGUAGGAUUGGUCAGGCACCACGUCUGCUGCUGCUGAAGUCUUCCCCGGAUACUCUGGGCACUUUCCAACAUUAACUGGAUUGAUGCUCAUCACCAGUGGGGCAGUUUCUAAGGAUCGCUCUGCUUCGAAAGUCGUAACUGACGCUGGGAGAAGGGGGACGGGGCGGGGGAGCCUCACUAUUCACCCGAACUACUUCCAUUAACGCUGACACAAAGAUUUAAAGUCAGUUUUUAAAAAUUUAAAGUCCCUGUUUUCCUAAUUAUAGUGAUGUAGAUUUCAAGCAUCUGAUGAGUCAGAAGGUAAAAUUAAUAUUUGGGCUGCUGUAACGAAUACCACACCCUUUGUAGCUUAGAGCCGCAGACAUGUAUUCUUGCAGGGCACGGGCGCCAGAAGCCCUACCAGAGGGUUGAUGGAGCUGCAGUCCCCGGGGCACUCUGGAGAGAACCUGCCCCUGUCCUUUUGGCUUCUGUGGCUCCACCUUGCCUUGUGGCUUUGUCCUCUGACCUCUCCUCUGUGCUCACUCUGUCUCCACCCCUCCUGUCCCUGACAAAUCUCCCUCUUCCAUCUCUAGUCAGAACGCUGGUCCCUGGGUGUAGGGACCAGUUGUCGUCAGGGUUUGCAAAGGAAACAGAUUUAAUACAGAACACAUAAUUUAUAGGACAAUUUUAUAAUAGUCACCCAAAAAGUCAAAUGCAGAGGAGUGCAGGAGAUCUGUCCACACCCUAGAGACCUGAAGAAUCCAGCCAGAGGCCUGGAGCCCACGGCAGUGUCUCCUACAAGUCCACAUCGAGGAUCUGCACCGGGAAGGCCAAAGGCCAGGGUGGAAGCCAGAAAGCCUGUGCCAUGGGGUGAAGGGUCUGCGCCACCAGGCUGAGGGAUCCGCACUGGAGCCAGGAAGCGACGCUCAUGGUGAAGACCAGAGCUCCCCUAAGGAGAACAGCAGCCCUCCCCAGGGACAGCGGAACAGCGGAACAGCAAGGCCCUGAGCUCCUCCUCCAAGAAGAACAGCCAAGUUCGCAUCAGGGAAACCACCCGUAGCAAGCUUCUCCGGGAAAAUCAACAGCCCUGGAUCUUCCCCUCUGGUUCUCUCUUUAUCCCGUUGGCAACAAUCCUCAGCUCUGAUUUGACUGCUCCCCAUCUCUGGGCUUCUCACCGCCAUAGUCCAGGCCAGGCCAGUGGAAGCACAGACAGCUGUUUGUCUAGAUGUGUGGACUGGGGUCACCUGUUCUGAAAUCCACUUGCGAAGUGUUCCGGGUUGCAGCCCUCCGCCUGCUCACCCUGGACAACCCACUCCUCUCCACGUUCUGCUUAUUGAAAGCCACUGCAUAUUG
This 1388-nucleotide long non-coding RNA is filed under the name Heterocephalus glaber (naked mole-rat). RNAcentral describes it as "lncRNA (ENSHGLG00100032895.1)". The record is from RNAcentral. Lineage: Eukaryota; Metazoa; Chordata; Mammalia; Rodentia; Bathyergidae.